UGGAGGGCAAGUCCAGUGCCAGCAGCCGCGGUAAUUCCAGCUCCAAUAGCGUAUAUUAAAGUUGUUGCAGUUAAAAAGCUCGUAGUUGAAUUUCGGGAUUUGUCAGUUGGUCGGGCUUAACUGUCCGUAUUGACUCGAUGGAUUCUUACCUUCUGAAUAACCAGCAUGCUAUUAAUUUAGUGCGUUGGGGAAGCAGAUCUAUUACCUUGAAAAAAUUAGAGUGCUUAAAGCGAGCUAGUGCUUGAAUAGAUUAGCAUGGAAUAAUAAAAUAGGACGACAUGGUUCUAUUUUGUUGGUUUCUAGGAUCACCGUAAUGAUUAAUAGGGAUAGUUGGGGGCAUUAGUAUUCAAUUGUCAGAGGUGAAAUUCUUGGAUUUAUUGAAGACUAACUUCUGCGAAAGCAUUUGCCAAGGAUGUUUUCAUUAAUCAAGAACGAAAGUUAGGGGAUCGAAGACGAUCAGAUACCGUCGUAGUCUCAACCAUAAACUAUGCCGACUAGGAAUCGGACGAUGUUAAUUUUAUAAUGACUCGUUCGGCACCUUACGGGAAAC
This 550-nucleotide ribosomal RNA is filed under the name uncultured Glomus. Its description in RNAcentral is "SSU rRNA". It matches the Rfam family "Eukaryotic small subunit ribosomal RNA", at positions 549 to 1098 of the family's 1831-position model. The record is from RNAcentral. Lineage: Eukaryota; Fungi; Glomeromycota; Glomeromycetes; Glomerales; Glomeraceae.